RNAcentral lists this long non-coding RNA (583 nucleotides) under Vombatus ursinus (common wombat). RNAcentral describes it as "lncRNA (ENSVURG00010001746.1)". The record is from RNAcentral. Lineage: Eukaryota; Metazoa; Chordata; Mammalia; Diprotodontia; Vombatidae.
AGCCGCGGCGGCGGGCGGCCAAGGCAUACACACCGACGGACGGACGGACGGACGGACCCACGGACUCCCCGACUCCUCCCUGCUGCUCCUCCGCCCUGCCCCCCCAAAACCACCCUCCAGCGCCAUCGCCGCCCUCCCCCUGCCGUCGAGCCGGGAACAAAGAGCGCUUAGUUGUCACCCCGCGGCGGCCCGGGAGCUCACCACCGACUGACCGGCCUCAAAGUCUGUUUUAACCCCCCCACCCCCACCCCGAGUAGGCAGCACCAGGUGAAGAGGAGGAGGCAGAGAGACAGAGACACCCCCCCCAUCCCCACGCAGAGACACCCCUCCGACCCCCACCUAGCCCAGCCCGCCCGGCCGGCCCGGCCCGAGCACCACCCUGGAGGCAGCCGCAGCAGCAGCCGCCGCCCCCCCGCCGCCGCCGCCGCCGCCCUCCCGCCUGCCCCGGCGCUCCGGAGGCCCGAGGGACGAGUGAGCCAGCCCGAGAGACAGAGCCAGCCAAGUCAUCAGGAACCGAAACCUGCCCACGCUGGUGCCAUCCGUCCUCACUGCCCUGCCCUCUGACACACCCUGCUCGCAGCUG